AUGAACGCUGGCGGCGUGCCUAAUACAUGCAAGUCGAGCGAACGGACGAGAAGCUUGCUUCUCUGAUGUUAGCGGCGGACGGGUGAGUAACACGUGGAUAACCUACCUAUAAGACUGGGAUAACUUCGGGAAACCGGAGCUAAUACCGGAUAAUAUUUUGAACCGCAUGGUUCAAAAGUGAAAGACGGUCUUGCUGUCACUUAUAGAUGGAUCAGCGCUGCAUUAGCUAGUUGGUAAGGUAACGGCUUACCAAGGCAACGAUGCAUAGCCGACCUGAGAGGGUGAUCGGCCACACUGGAACUGAGACACGGUCCAGACUCCUACGGGAGGCAGCAGUAGGGAAUCUUCCGCAAUGGGCGAAAGCCUGACGGAGCAACGCCGCGUGAGUGAUGAAGGUCUUCGGAUCGUAAAACUCUGUUAUUAGGGAAGAACAUAUGUGUAAGUAACUGUGCACAUCUUGACGGUACCUAAUCAGAAAGCCACGGCUAACUACGUG
Molecule: ribosomal RNA, 496 nt
Filed under: uncultured bacterium
Lineage: Bacteria
Description: partial 16S ribosomal RNA
Rfam family: Bacterial small subunit ribosomal RNA
Source: RNAcentral